Molecule: transfer RNA, 68 nt
Filed under: Chloroflexota bacterium
Lineage: Bacteria; Bacillati; Chloroflexota
Also listed under: 1 other name
Description: Chloroflexi bacterium (bioreactor metagenome) tRNA-Arg
Rfam family: tRNA
About the family: Transfer RNA (tRNA) molecules are approximately 80 nucleotides in length. Their secondary structure includes four short double-helical elements and three loops (D, anti-codon, and T loops).
Source: RNAcentral
UGUAACUCAACGGAAUGAGAGCGCCUGGUUUCGACCCAGAAGGCCGCGAGUUCGAGUCUCGCCAGUCA